This 112-nucleotide ribosomal RNA is filed under the name Caerostris darwini. The record is from RNAcentral. Lineage: Eukaryota; Metazoa; Arthropoda; Arachnida; Araneae; Araneidae.
AACGGCCAUACCAUGCUGAAUAUACCGGUUCUCUUUAGAUCACCGAAGUCAAGCAUCAUUGGGCACGGUCAGUACUUGGGUGGGUGACCACCUGGGAACACCACGUGCCGUU